Molecule: ribosomal RNA, 471 nt
Filed under: uncultured bacterium
Lineage: Bacteria
Description: partial 16S ribosomal RNA
Rfam family: Bacterial small subunit ribosomal RNA
Source: RNAcentral
GACGAACGCUGGCGGCGUGCUUAACACAUGCAAGUCGAACGAUGAAGCCUAGCUUGCUAGGUGGAUUAGUGGCGAACGGGUGAGUAAUACGUGAGUAACCUACCUUUAACUCUGGGAUAAGCCCGGGAAACUGGGUCUAAUACCGGAUACGACCAAUCUCCGCAUGGGGUGUUGGUGGAAAGCGUUAUGUAGUGGUUAUAGAUGGGCUCACGGCCUAUCAGCUUGUUGGUGAGGUAACGGCUCACCAAGGCGACGACGGGUAGCUGGCCUGAGAGGGUGACCGGCCACACUGGGACUGAGACACGGCCCAGACUCCUACGGGAGGCAGCAGUGGGGAAUAUUGCACAAUGGGCGCAAGCCUGAUGCAGCGACGCCGCGUGAGGGAUGACGGCCUUCGGGUUGUAAACCUCUGUUAGCAGGGAAGAAGAGAGAUUGACGGUACCUGCAGAGAAAGCGCCGGCUAACUACGUG